UUCAACAACAUUUAUACAUCUUUUUAAUUAGAUUAGCUUUACAAGCAACUUGAGAGCUCUUUCAUAAUGAAACACUGCUUUUCAAAUUACAUGACUUUAUAGUCUAUCUGUAUAUGAAUCCUGAAAAUCUUUGCCUACUCUUGAUAAAGGUCUGUGUUUUACAGCUGGUUAAUGUGUUGAAUAAAAACAGCAUUAUGAAGCUUUAUCUUUAACCAGGAUUAAACACAUAUAGGCCACAAACAGUUUUAAAUUUUGUUUGAAAUAGAGUCCUGCUUGGUGACAAGUUAAUAGUCCCACUAACAUGAAAUGAAUGGAUAUUAAAUAAAUGGCCAUCCUGAUUUCUUGAUCUUUUCACAAUGAUUCCUAAGAGAGUAUAUAAACUUUUCCAAAAAAUAUACAAUUUAAGACCUGUCUGGCAAGCACAACCCACAGAUAGUAGAAUCUAAUACUUUUUACGAGACUAAAAUUGAUGUCUGAAGUUGAUGAGUUUUUGUGACUUUCUUAAUACUUAUUUCAACUACUUAUUUUUUGCAAGGGAACUGCAGAUCAGAAAGAGACAAUAGGCCGGGCACAGUGGCUCACGCCUGUAAUCCCAGCACUUCGGGAGGCCGAAGUGGGUGGAUCAUGAAGUCAGGACUUCGAGACCAACCUGGCCAAUAGGGUGAAACCCCAUCUCUACUAAAAAAAAGAAAAAAAAAAUUAGCCGUGCAUGGUGGCACAUGCCUGUAGCCCUAGCUACUCAGGAGGCUGAGAGGCAGGAGAAUCGCUUGAACCCGGGGAGGCGGAGGUUGCAGUGAGCCGAGAUCAUGCCACUGCACUCCAGCCUAGGUGACAGAGUGAGCCUCCCUCUAAAAAAAAAGAGAGACAAUAAAAGGGUAAAAGAAUGGCUGUUACAGAAAAAGCACAUUAUCAAUAGCACAAGUACUAAAAGAACAGAAAAGAAACAGAUAAAAGGACUCAGGGCAUUGCAGGCUAACAGUUUCAACAGUCUCUGGGGACAUCACUACAUUAUAGCAAAGAGUAAUGAUGGAUGUUUACAAUUAUAACCUUGACAGUUAAAUUAUGCUAAGAAUUUUUAAGGAUUUUAAUCAAAGCAAUUAUACUGUGUUUUGUGUUUAAACUUUGUCUAAACUUCAUUUUUCUGAAAAUCUGACUUAGAAUAUUUCAUUCCACCAAUAAGUGAGGCAUCUCUAGUUUAUUAAAUACUACAAAAGACAUACUUUCUGAUACAAAUAAUGGGGAAAAUGUAUAAACGCUAUAGGAAGUGAAAGUACGCUACAAAUCACCAGUUCCUGGGCAGAAUAUAGCAAUUAGUUCAAAUAUAUUGUGGAUUGUGGCCAGUGGACACAGGGGAAAAGGCAACAUUUAUCAGACAUACAGCCAGUAAUAUGACAGAAUGAAAAAUCACAUAAUGUAUUUUGAAGUAAAGAGUCUGGGAGUUUGGACAACUGGGAGCCUGACGUUUACAGACCCCACCACUGGUGAAUCACAGAGCUGAGGUCUAAGGAGGUCUCCUGACUUCCAGACCAGACUCUGCUCUUUCCAGAGUUCCACUACCUUUCUUACCAUGUGGCUUCUUCUACUUUUGGGUGGCCUUGGAAAUAGGAAAGGGCUCAGAUACAUAAUUUUAUGUAUCUUUUGCCCAUGCCCUAAACUUUUAGUCACUUAGCAAUCAGAAUUCUAAUAUCUGGAUCAACAACUUACCUUAUGUCAUUCUAACUUUCCAGCCUUAUCACCCAUUCUAGAUAAGAUCAGAAUAGGAUUCUACUU
RNAcentral lists this long non-coding RNA (1770 nucleotides) under Homo sapiens (human). RNAcentral describes it as "non-protein coding lnc-SPRTN-2:1". The record is from RNAcentral. Lineage: Eukaryota; Metazoa; Chordata; Mammalia; Primates; Hominidae.